Dipodomys ordii (Ord's kangaroo rat) is the source of this 289-nucleotide unclassified non-coding RNA. It matches the Rfam family "Metazoan signal recognition particle RNA". From Rfam's summary of the family: The signal recognition particle (SRP) is a universally conserved ribonucleoprotein. It is involved in the co-translational targeting of proteins to membranes. The record is from Ensembl. Lineage: Eukaryota; Metazoa; Chordata; Mammalia; Rodentia; Heteromyidae.
GCCUCCAGGCACCGUGGCCUGCGCCUGUAAUCCCAGCUUGUUGGAAGGCUGAGCCCAGAGGAUCGCUUAAGUCUAGGAAUUCUGGGCUGCAGUGCACUAUGCAGAUUGAGUGUCUGCACCAAGUUCGGCAUCAAUAUGGUGACCUCCCGGAAGCAGGGGAGCACCAGGUUGCCUAAGGAGGGGUGAACAGGCCCAGGUCAGAAACAGAGCAGGUUGAAAAUAAACUUUGUCAACAACCUGGAUGAACUGACAGGUGAAUUCUGCCCUAGCCAAAUAUGCAAAUGACAAU